RNAcentral lists this transfer RNA (68 nucleotides) under Butyrivibrio sp. Its description in RNAcentral is "tRNA-Val". It matches the Rfam family "tRNA". Rfam says of the family: Transfer RNA (tRNA) molecules are approximately 80 nucleotides in length. Their secondary structure includes four short double-helical elements and three loops (D, anti-codon, and T loops). Lineage: Bacteria; Bacillati; Bacillota; Clostridia; Lachnospirales; Lachnospiraceae. The record is from RNAcentral.
UACGAUAUAACUCAGCUGGGAGAGUGCUUCCCUUACAAGGAAGAAGCCACAGGUUCGCCUGUGCGUAG